GUGGGGAAUAUUGCACAAUGGGCGAAAGCCUGAUGCAGCAACGCCGCGUGAGGGACGACGGCCUUCGGGUUGUAAACCUCUUUUAGUAGGGAAGAAGCGAAAGUGACGGUACCUGCAGAAAAAGCACCGGCUAACUACGUGCCAGCAGCCGCGGUAAUACGUAGGGUGCAAGCGUUAUCCGGAAUUAUUGGGCGUAAAGAGCUCGUAGGCGGUCUGUCGCGUCUGCUGUGAAAACUGGAGGCUCAACCUCCAGCCUGCAGUGGGUACGGGCAGACUAGAGGGCGGGAGGGGAGAUUGGAAUUCCUGGUGUAGCGGUGGAAUGCGCAGAUAUCAGGAGGAACACCGAUGGCGAAGGCAGAUCUCUGGGCCGUAACUGACGCUGAGGAGCGAAAGCGUGGGGAGCGAACAGGAUUAGAUACCCGGGUAGUCC
RNAcentral lists this ribosomal RNA (430 nucleotides) under uncultured bacterium. Its description in RNAcentral is "partial 16S ribosomal RNA". It matches the Rfam family "Bacterial small subunit ribosomal RNA", at positions 354 to 796 of the family's 1533-position model. The record is from RNAcentral.